RNAcentral lists this transfer RNA (18 nucleotides) under Atta cephalotes. RNAcentral describes it as "partial tRNA-Leu". RNAcentral also lists the same sequence under 3 other names. Lineage: Eukaryota; Metazoa; Arthropoda; Insecta; Hymenoptera; Formicidae. The record is from RNAcentral.
UUUAAUAUGGCAGAAUAG